This 778-nucleotide ribosomal RNA is filed under the name uncultured Neocallimastigales. Its description in RNAcentral is "partial large subunit ribosomal RNA". It matches the Rfam family "Eukaryotic large subunit ribosomal RNA", at positions 22 to 645 of the family's 3401-position model. The record is from RNAcentral. Lineage: Eukaryota; Fungi; Neocallimastigomycota; Neocallimastigomycetes; Neocallimastigales.
UGUACACGCUGUGACUAGCAUAUCAAUAAGCGGAGGAAAAGAAACUAACAAGGAUUCCCUUAGUAACGGCGAGUGAAGCGGGAAGAGCUCAAAUUUGAAAUCUUCAAGGUUCUACCUUUACGAAUUGUAGUUUAAAGAAGUGUUUUCUGUUAGUGAGGUUGGCUAAAAGUUCUUUGGAAUAGGACAUCAUAGAGGGUGAGAAUCCCGUAUUUGAUCAUUCCUUCUAACUUUGUGAUACACUUUCAAAGAGUCGGAUUGUUUGGGAAUGCAGUCCAAAAUGGGUGGUAAAUUUCAUCUAAAGCUAAAUAUUGGCGAGAGACCGAUAGCGAACAAGUACCGUGAGGGAAAGAUGAAAAGAACUUUGAAAAGAGAGUUAAACAGUACGUGAAAUUGUCAAAAGGGAUGCGUUUGACACCAGUGUUGUUUUUCUGAAAAUCAAUUAAAGAACUGUUUAUGCUAAGCUGUUUAGACUUUAUCAGCUAAUCUGUUUAGUUUUGAGCUUUUCUUUAAUGCACUUUUCAGUUAACAAGUCAACAUCAAUUUCUUUUGCUGUAAAAAAGCUUGAGGAAGGUGGCUUGAGAUUCGUCUUAAGUGUUUAUAGCCUCUUGCCUAUGCAGUCGGAGAGAUUGAGGUCUGCAGCGUAGAUCCUUCGGGGCUAAAUGCAUUUGUGCUAAGUUAUAGCAUUUUAUAGACAACUUGUUGACUAUGAUUUGUCUUGUAGCUUACUCGCUUAUGUUAUUUUACCUACGCUUAGGAUGUUGACGAGACUGUCGAUCUC